Molecule: ribosomal RNA, 299 nt
Filed under: uncultured bacterium
Lineage: Bacteria
Description: partial 16S ribosomal RNA
Rfam family: Bacterial small subunit ribosomal RNA
Source: RNAcentral
GAUGAACGCUAGCGGGAGGCUUAAUACAUGCAAGUCGAGGGGUAACAGUUAGGCUGACGACCGGCGAACGGGUGAGUAACGCGUACACAAUCUACCUUAUAGAGAAGGACAGCCCUGGGAAACUGGGAUUAAUACUUCAUGUUCUUAUAAAGUGGCAUCACUUAAUAAGCAAAGUUUCGGCGCUAUAAGAUGAGUGUGCGUUCCAUUAGAUAGUUGGUAAGGUAACGGCUUACCAAGUCUAUGAUGGAUAGGGGGCGUGAGAGCGUGAUCCCCCACACGGGUACUGAGACACGGACCCG